This is a long non-coding RNA of Mustela lutreola (European mink), 925 nucleotides long. RefSeq lists it as uncharacterized. Lineage: Eukaryota; Metazoa; Chordata; Mammalia; Carnivora; Mustelidae. The record is from RefSeq and is a predicted model, not a curated record. The transcript is spliced from 4 exons.
GAAACCCAACCGGAUGGAGUGUUGUUAUUAUCGCUGCUGGACGGUGAUAAAUGGUGGCCCGUAUGGGGAACCCCCUUUCUUCGUUUCUAACAGUGCACUGAGGUCCCUUGCAGAAUCUUUAGAAGCCCAGCCCAGGCAAGAGAGCUCUCCUUGAGGUGACCGCCUGGAGCGUCUAUACUGCAGGAAGGGCUGCUUUAGAAAAUGAGAAGGAUAGCAAUCAGGAUCUGGAGUCAGCAAACUGGAAUGGACGGGGCAAAUCAGGCCCCCUGCACCCCGAUACACACACUUCCAUCAGGACACGUUGCUCUCACUCCUCGUGCGUGCGAUGUCUAUGACACUUUCCGUGCUCCAAGGGCAGAAUCAGGAAUAACCUCUUUGAAGACCGGGGUGUGAGCUGGCUUGUUCACCACAAUAUCCCCCAGUGCCCAGAACUUUAAAGGGGCUCAAGAACAUUUGUUUAGUAAAGAAUACCAUGUGGCUAACCUAACAAGAUGCAAACGGAGAUAUUAAGAUUGAAGACAGAUGCUGCUCCUACCGUCGGCGGGGAUGGAGGGCAGUUGAAGAACCAAUGUGAAGGGAACUUCUAGAGACUGGGAGGAAGUCUAACACCUUUCCUCUGUUGAGUGACUGUUACCCAUGAGACCCUAGGGCUACACACGUGAACAGACCACCAUGGUCCCUGUCCUCAUAGUGCUGGUGUUGUAGCACGUUGUUUAAACCCUCCAUCCCCAUUUUAGGAUAGGGCAUGGGGAAGCCUUUUUUUUUUUCCUCUAUUUUUUUUUCUUUAUGUAAAGGGCCAGAUAGUAAGUAUUUUAUGCUCUGCAGGUUUGCGAUUUGUGUCACAAAUACUCAACUCUGCUGGUGUAGUGCAAAAGCCAUCACAAAUGGCACAACAUCAUGGCUAUGUUCAAAUAAAACCUUAUUU